UGGGGAAUAUUGCACAAUGGGCGAAAGCCUGAUGCAGCAACGCCGCGUGAGGGACGACGGCCUUCGGGUUGUAAACCUCUUUUAGCAAGGAAGAAGCGAAAGUGACGGUACUUGCAGAAAAAAGCGCCGGCUAACUACGUGCCAGCAGCCGCGGUAAUACGUAGGGCGCAAGCGUUAUCCGGAAUUAUUGGGCGUAAAGAGCUCGUAGGCGGUUUGUCGCGUCUGCUGUGAAAAACCCGAGGCUCAACCUCGGGCCUGCAGUGGGUACGGGCAGACUAGAGUGCGGUAGGGGAGAUUGGAACUCCUGGUGUAGCGGUGGAAUGCGCAGAUAUCAGGAAAGAACACCGAUGGCGAAAGGCAGAUCUCUGGGCCGUAAACUGACGCUGAGGAGCGAAAAGGGUGGGGAGCAAAACAGGCUUAGAUACCCUGGUAGUCCACCCCGUAAAACGUU
RNAcentral lists this ribosomal RNA (451 nucleotides) under uncultured bacterium. RNAcentral's name for it is "partial 16S ribosomal RNA". It matches the Rfam family "Bacterial small subunit ribosomal RNA", at positions 355 to 811 of the family's 1533-position model. The record is from RNAcentral.